RNAcentral lists this ribosomal RNA (620 nucleotides) under uncultured bacterium. RNAcentral describes it as "bacterial SSU rRNA". It matches the Rfam family "Bacterial small subunit ribosomal RNA", at positions 426 to 1059 of the family's 1533-position model. The record is from RNAcentral.
UAAACCUCUUUCAGCGCCGAAGAAGCGAAAGUGACGGUAGGCGCAGAAGAAGCACCGGCUAACUACGUGCCAGCAGCCGCGGUAAUACGUAGGGUGCAAGCGUUGUCCGGAAUCAUUGGGCGUAAAGAGCUCGUAGGCGGUCUGUCGCGUCUGCUGUGAAAACCUGGGGCUUAACCCCGGGCCUGCAGUGGGUACGGGCAGACUAGAGUGCGGUAGGGGAGACUGGAAUUCCUGGUGUAGCGGUGAAAUGCGCAGAUAUCAGGAGGAACACCGGUGGCGAAGGCGGGUCUCUGGGCCGUAACUGACGCUGAGGAGCGAAAGCAUGGGUAGCGAACAGGAUUAGAUACCCUGGUAGUCCAUGCCGUAAACGUUGGGCGCUAGGUGUGGGGCUCAUUCCACGAGUUCCGUGCCGCAGCAAACGCAUUAAGCGCCCCGCCUGGGGAGUACGGCCGCAAGGCUAAAACUCAAAGGAAUUGACGGGGCCCCGCACAAGCGGCGGAGCAUGCGGAUUAAUUCGAUGCAACGCGAAGAACCUUACCAAGGCUUGACAUGCAGGGAAAUCUCCCAGAGAUGGGAGGUCCGCAAGGGUCCUGCACAGGUGGUGCAUGGUUGUCGUCAGC